CGUAGGGACCAAGCGUUGUUCGGAUUUACUGGGCGUAAAGGGCGCGUAGGCGGCAAAUUAAGUCAUCUGUGAAAUCUCCGAGCUUAACUCGGAACGGUCAGGUGAUACUGAUCUGCUAGAGUGCGGGAGGGGCAAUCGGAAUUCUUGGUGUAGCGGUGAAAUGCGUAGAUAUCAAGAGGAGCACCUGAGGUGAAGACGGGUUGCUGGGCCGACACUGACGCUGACAGCGCGAAAGCCAGGGGAGCAAACGGGAUUAGAUACCCCGGUAGUCCUGGCCUUAAACGAUGAAUACUUGGUGUCUGGAGUCUCUAUAGCUCCGGGUGCCGUCGCUAACGUUUUUAGUAUUCCGCCUGGGGAGUACGCACGCAAGUGUG
RNAcentral lists this ribosomal RNA (374 nucleotides) under uncultured organism. RNAcentral's name for it is "bacterial SSU rRNA". It matches the Rfam family "Bacterial small subunit ribosomal RNA", at positions 526 to 896 of the family's 1533-position model. The record is from RNAcentral.